AGGGCGCACGGUGGAUGCCUUGACACUAGGAGUCGAUGAAGGACGGGACUAACGCCGAUAUGCUUCGGGGAGCUGUAAGUAAGCUUUGAUCCGAAGAUUUCCGAAUGGGGAAACCCACCAUACGUAAUGGUAUGGUAUCCUUAUCUGAAUACAUAGGGUAAGGAAGACAGACCCAGGGAACUGAAACAUCUAAGUACCUGGAGGAAGAGAAAGCAAAUGCGAUUUCCUGAGUAGCGGCGAGCGAAACGGAACAUAGCCCAAACCAAGAGGCUUGCCUCUUGGGGUUGUAGGACAUUCUAUACGGAGUUACAAAGGAACGAGGUAGACGAAGCGACCUGGAAAGGUCCGUCGUAGAGGGUAACAACCCCGUAGUCGAAACUUCGUUCUCUCUUGAAUGUAUCCUGAGUACGGCGGAACACGUGAAAUUCCGUCGGAAUCUGGGAGGACCAUCUCCCAAGGCUAAAUACUCCCUAGUGAUCGAUAGUGAACCAGUACCGUGAGGGAAAGGUGAAAAGCACCCCGGAAGGGGAGUGAAAGAGAUCCUGAAACCGUGUGCCUACAAAUAGUCAGAGCCCGUUAACGGGUGAUGGCGUGCCUUUUGUAGAAUGAACCGGCGAGUUACGAUCCCGUGCGAGGUUAAGCUGAAGAGGCGGAGCCGCAGCGAAAGCGAGUCUGAAUAGGGCGUUUAGUACGUGGUCGUAGACCCGAAACCAGGUGAUCUACCCAUGUCCAGGGUGAAGUUCAGGUAACACUGAAUGGAGGCCCGAACCCACGCACGUUGAAAAGUGCGGGGAUGAGGUGUGGGUAGCGGAGAAAUUCCAAUCGAACCUGGAGAUAGCUGGUUCUCCCCGAAAUAGCUUUAGGGCUAGCCUUAAGUGUAAGAGUCUUGGAGGUAGAGCACUGAUUGGACUAGGGGUCCUCAUCGGAUUACCGAAUUCAGUCAAACUCCGAAUGCCAAUGACUUAUCCUUAGGAGUCAGACUGCGAGUGAUAAGAUCCGUAGUCAAAAGGGAAACAGCCCAGACCGCCAGCUAAGGUCCCAAAGUGUGUAUUAAGUGGAAAAGGAUGUGGAGUUGCUUAGACAACUAGGAUGUUGGCUUAGAAGCAGCCACCAUUUAAAGAGUGCGUAAUAGCUCACUAGUCGAGUGACUCUGCGCCGAAAAUGUACCGGGGCUAAAUACACCACCGAAGCUGCGGAUUGAUACCAAUGGUAUCAGUGGUAGGGGAGCGUUCUAAGGACAGUGAAGUCAGACCGGAAGGACUGGUGGAGUGCUUAGAAGUGAGAAUGCCGGUAUGAGUAGCGAAAGACGGGUGAGAAUCCCGUCCACCGAAUGCCUAAGGUUUCCUGAGGAAGGCUCGUCCGCUCAGGGUUAGUCAGGACCUAAGCCGAGGCCGACAGGCGUAGGCGAUGGACAACAGGUUGAUAUUCCUGUACCACCUCUUUAUCGUUUGAGCAAUGGAGGGACGCAGAAGGAUAGAAGAAGCGUGCGAUUGGUUGUGCACGUCCAAGCAGUUAGGCUGAUAAGUAGGCAAAUCCGCUUAUCGUAAAGGCUGAGCUGUGAUGGGGAAGCUCCUUAUGGAGCGAAGUCUUUGAUUCCCCGCUGCCAAGAAAAGCUUCUAGCGAGAUAAAAGGUGCCUGUACCGCAAACCGACACAGGUAGGCGAGGAGAGAAUCCUAAGGUGUGCGAGAGAACUCUGGUUAAGGAACUCGGCAAAAUGACCCCGUAACUUCGGGAGAAGGGGUGCUUUCUUAACGGAAAGCCGCAGUGAAUAGGCCCAAGCGACUGUUUAGCAAAAACACAGCUCUCUGCGAAGCCGUAAGGCGAAGUAUAGGGGGUGACACCUGCCCGGUGCUGGAAGGUUAAGGAGAGGGGUUAGCGUAAGCGAAGCUCUGAACUGAAGCCCCAGUAAACGGCGGCCGUAACUAUAACGGUCCUAAGGUAGCGAAAUUCCUUGUCGGGUAAGUUCCGACCCGCACGAAAGGUGUAACGAUUUGGGCACUGUCUCAACCAGAGACUCGGUGAAAUUAUAGUACCUGUGAAGAUGCAGGUUACCCGCGACAGGACGGAAAGACCCCGUGGAGCUUUACUGUAGCCUGAUAUUGAAUUUUGGUACAGUUUGUACAGGAUAGGCGGGAGCCUUUGAAACCGGAGCGCUAGCUUCGGUGGAGGCGCUGGUGGGAUACCGCCCUGACUGUAUUGAAAUUCUAACCUACGGGUCUUAUCGACCCGGGAGACAGUGUCAGGUGGGCAGUUUGACUGGGGCGGUCGCCUCCUAAAGUGUAACGGAGGCGCCCAAAGGUUCCCUCAGAAUGGUUGGAAAUCAUUCGUAGAGUGCAAAGGCAUAAGGGAGCUUGACUGCGAGACCUACAAGUCGAGCAGGGACGAAAGUCGGGCUUAGUGAUCCGGUGGUUCCGCAUGGAAGGGCCAUCGCUCAACGGAUAAAAGCUACCCCGGGGAUAACAGGCUUAUCUCCCCCAAGAGUCCACAUCGACGGGGAGGUUUGGCACCUCGAUGUCGGCUCAUCGCAUCCUGGGGCUGUAGUCGGUCCCAAGGGUUGGGCUGUUCGCCCAUUAAAGCGGUACGCGAGCUGGGUUCAGAACGUCGUGAGACAGUUCGGUCCCUAUCCGUCGUGGGCGUAGGAAAUUUGAGAGGAGCUGUCCUUAGUACGAGAGGACCGGGAUGGACGCACCGCUGGUGUACCAGUUGUUCUGCCAAGGGCAUAGCUGGGUAGCUAUGUGCGGAAGGGAUAAGUGCUGAAAGCAUCUAAGCAUGAAGCCCCCCUCAAGAUGAGAUUUCCCAUAGCGUAAGCUAGU
This 2814-nucleotide ribosomal RNA is filed under the name Bacillus cereus. RNAcentral's name for it is "bacterial LSU rRNA". It matches the Rfam family "Bacterial large subunit ribosomal RNA". Lineage: Bacteria; Bacillati; Bacillota; Bacilli; Caryophanales; Bacillaceae. The record is from RNAcentral. RNAcentral also lists the same sequence under 1 other name.